RNAcentral lists this ribosomal RNA (787 nucleotides) under uncultured archaeon. RNAcentral describes it as "bacterial SSU rRNA". It matches the Rfam family "Archaeal small subunit ribosomal RNA", at positions 1 to 769 of the family's 1478-position model. The record is from RNAcentral.
UUCCGGUUGAUCCUGCCGGACCCCACUGCUAUCGAGAUGGGACUAAGGUAUGCUAGUCGAACGACCAGAACUAUGUCUGGGAGUGGCACACUGCUCAGUAACACGUAGCUAACCUACCCUUAGGACGUGGAUACCCCCGAGAAAUUGGGGUUAAUCCGCGAUAGAUGUAAUGUCCUGGAAUGGUAUUACGUCUAAAGGUAUUUCAUACAUGUUUGAAAUAUGCCUAAGGAUGGGGCUGCGGCCGAUCAGGCUGUUGGUGAGGUAAUGGCUCACCAAACCUUUGACCGGUACGGGCCAUGAGAGUGGUAGCCCGGAGAUGGACACUGAGACAAGGGUCCAGGCCCUAAGGGGCGCAGCAACCGCGAAACCUCCACAAUGCACUCACGUGCGAUGGGGCUAUCUCGAGUGCCACCUGAUGAAGGUGGCUUUUCCUAGGUCUUCAAAGCCUUGGGAAUAAGAGGGGGGCAAGACUGGUGUCAGCCGCCGCGGUAACACCAGCCCCUCGAGUGGUGGGGAUGAUUAUUUGGCCUAAAGCGUCCGUAGCCGGCCGAGCAAGUCUUCCGUUAAAUCCAGCGUCUCAAGCGUUGGACUGCGGGAGAUACUACACGGCUAGAGAGUGGGAGAGGUCAGCGGUAUUCUGGGGGUAGGGGCGAAAUCCUUUGAUCCCCGGAGGACCACCAGUGGCGAAGGCUGCUGACUAGAACACGUCUGACGGUCAGGGACGAAAGCUGGGGUAGCGAACCGGAUUAGAUACCCGGGUAGUCCCAGCCGUAAACGAUGCAUGCUA